RNAcentral lists this long non-coding RNA (404 nucleotides) under Pan troglodytes (chimpanzee). RNAcentral describes it as "long non-coding RNA NONPTRT013955". The record is from RNAcentral. Lineage: Eukaryota; Metazoa; Chordata; Mammalia; Primates; Hominidae.
CCAGUUUGAGUGAGCCACAGGGGUGUGCUUCUGCAGCCAAGUUGAAGCUGUUGUCAUAACCUUGGGCAGAUGACCAGAGAAAAUACGAAGGAGGAGGCCUCCCUCCUCCACCUCUCCGCCCCCUCCGGGCUUGGCUCUCCCAGGAGGCUACGACUGGAGCCACUGGUCCCGCAGGGAUCCCCGCGUCCUCGGUCGCCGCGUCCACGUCCCUCUCGCGUCCCCGCCCGGCGCCACGCCGCCUCCUCUGGGUUCGGCCUCCGCGCGGUGCAGCGCAGUCUCAGGCCACGGGACAAGGUACGUGCGCGUCCCCGGGGCACACAAGCCCACACAAGCCCGGGCCCCGCUCCUCUGAACUCCCGCGUGUGUUCUGACUAUGGCAAAGAAGGUCUUUGCCGCGUGCACGG